Molecule: long non-coding RNA, 3321 nt
Filed under: Homo sapiens (human)
Lineage: Eukaryota; Metazoa; Chordata; Mammalia; Primates; Hominidae
Description: PREDICTED lncRNA (TCONS_00172418)
Source: RNAcentral
UUCUUCUCAGCCUGUCCGAGCACACAUUCCUUUCUUCUGGAUAUGGGGCAGGAUCCUUUCUGGAACGGGGAUCUUAUGACCUGUAGUCAAACAAGGAUCUUGCUGCGUCACUCAGGCUGGAGUGCAGUGGCACAAUCACGGCUCAUUGCAACCUCGACUCCCCAGGUUCAAGCAAUCCUCCCACUUCAACCUCCAAAGUAGCUAGGACUACAGGUGUGGCCAUGCCUAGCUAACUUUUAAAAUUUGUUCUAGAGAUGGGGUCUCACUCUAUUGCCCAGGCUGGUCUUGAACUCCUGAGCUCAAAUGUCCCACCAACCUUGUGCUCCCAAAGUGCUGGGAUUAUGAGUGUGAGCCACUGCAUCUGGUGGCUUCCUUUUUUUAAUCCCAAUUUUUUAUUCCUUAAAAAUUUUUCCAGGUGUACAUUGUAAAAUUUGUUUUCUAUUUUACCAUUUUUCCAAAUGGCUACCCAGUUGUCCCAACAGCAUAUAUUAAAUAUUCUAUCUUCUCUAUUGAUGUGAAUUGCCAUCCUUAACAUUUACUAAAUUUGCUUAUUAUUGAUUGAUUUUGGAGAAGGGGUCUCACUUUGUCAUACAGGCUGAAGUGCAGAGGUGUAAUUACAACCCACUGCAGCCUCUACCUUCUGGGCUCAAGUGAUCCUCCCCACUCAGCCUCCUGAGUAGCUGGGACCACAGGCAUGUGCCACCAUGACUGGCUAAUUUUUAAAUUUUUUGUAGUGAUAAGGUCUCUCUAUGUUGCUCCAGCUGGUCUCCAACUCCUGGGUUCAAGGAAUGCUCCCACCUCUGCCUCCCAAAGUGCUGGGAUUACAGACAUGACCCACCGUGCCCAGGCUGCUUAUUUUUAUUUUUAUUUUUUUGAGACAAGAUUUUGCUCUGUCACCCAGCCUGGAGUGUGUAGUGGCAUGAUCUCAGCUCACUGCACCCUCGACUUCCUGAGCUCAGGUGAUUCUCCCACCUCAGCCUUCUAAGUAGCUGGGACUACAGGCCCACAUCACCACGCCAGGCUAACUUUUGUAUUUUUAGUAGAGACAGGAUUUCAGCGUGUUACCCACGCUGGUCUCAAACUCCUGGGCUCAAGCAAUCCUCCCACCUCGGGCUCCAAAAAUGCUAGGAUUACAGGCGUGAGCCACCCAGCCUGGCCUGCUUAUGAAUUUUGGUCUAGUUUUAGACAUCCUAUUCUACAACUUGGCUAGUCUGUUUAUUCAUGUAUCAGCUGUUUUAACUAUUAAGGUGUUAUAUGUCCUAUCUAGAAGGGCCAAUCCUCCUGUGUUGCUCUUCAUUGUUAUAAUUUUCCUGGUUGUUUUUGCUUAUUUAUCUUUUCAAAUGAAUGUCAGUGUUAACUUGCCUGGUUUAAAAAACCGUAUUUUAUUGAAGUUGUAUUAAGAGAAUAAAAAACUGUGGAUAAUUAAAAUUUUUAUGGUAUCAAUUUUUUUCUCAUUCUAACAAAAAGUAUGACUUUCCUUUUUUUUUUUUUUUGUCUUGCGAUGGAGUCUCACUCUGUCGCCCAGGCUGGAGUGCAGUGGCUCGAUCUCAGCUCGCUGCAGCUGUGUCCAGAACUGGUGGGUUCUUGGUCUCACUGACUUCAAGAAUGAAGCCGCGGACCCUUGUGGAUGAAGACAUCUAAGCUACUUCUGGAUUCCCUAGAAAACUUGUGCUGCCUAUUCUUUUCCAACUGUGUAGUCCUCUCCUGGCUGUUUCUGUGGUCCAGCAGACUGUGGAGAAAUAGCUUACUAUUCCAUUAGAAAGAAGAUCUUGUGUAAUAAAAAUAAGAAGUGGUAUCAGGUCAUGGGAGCUUUGGAAAUGGAAUCGAGAUUUGGUGCUUGUCUUUGCCUCUGUGGCUAACAAGGUAUAGAACGUUUGGAAGUUUCUUAACUGACUUAGGCCACCUAAAGGUAUUAGAGUAGACAAGCAGUUUGUAAAAGGUGCUUUGCAGGUAACCAGGGGCCUGCUGGUCUCUCAUAGCUGCCUCAGAGGCUCAUGAUAGAAGGUUUGAGAAACUAGGGGAUUGUCACUGAGAGGGAUACAAUGGGGACUUCGGUCGAAUAAUCUCCAUUGUCUUUCGAGCAGAACAGCAGCAGCUCUAUUUCCUAUACAUUUCACAUUUUGUAAUUCUUGAAGGAUUUUUUUUAAAACAAAGACCUCUGCUAAAACCAAACCAAACCAAAUCAAAUCAAAUAAAAGCUGCAAGACUCCUGAAGGUCCCUCUAGCUCUACAUUUUUAGUACUUUCCUAUGAUAUUUAUAUAUCCCACAUGCUGGUUCACUUUGUCAUCUGAGAUGAGACUAAUCUGUGUCCAUCUGGGAUAGAAAUUUCUUCCGUACUUUGAUGAAAAGCAGUGUAGUCCUGCAAGAUGUGAGUCUAUUUCCCCAUACUUUAUUGACACAGGUAUGAAGAUGAGAAGAGAUGGAGGCAGCAAAGGAAAUGUGGUUUUGCAUGUCACUAGCUCAACUCCCUCUGCAUUUUCUUUUAAGCAAGGGAGGUGCUCCAUUGUCUCUAUAGGGCAACAGCAGUUCACUGGGUCCCCACAUUUUUCUGGGGCUUUUGUGAGAAGCAGUAGGCAGGAACAGUGAAGAGAAACUUAGCAGGAGGCCCAGGUGCUGUCUUUUCUAGUUUCAGAGCUAUCUGAUCAGGACAAAAAGGAACAAGCUUGUCCACAGCAAGAUGGCCAGCAACUUGGUUAUUUACCCAGUUAGUCUUGGGGAACACUAGAGCUCUUCCAAUAGCUGGGACUAUUUAAAUUUUUUCAAGGAAACAUAUGCUGUGGGUUGGUGGUAGAUGGGAUUCAGGAGGAUCCUUCUCUUAUACAAGAUGACUUUCUGGAUAGGUGUUUGUGGGGUACAGAGGGAGGGAGCAAGGAGAAUAAGAGAGGAACAAACCAAAUGUUCAACAUUCUAACACUCUUUAAUAAUUUAUCUAAAAUUAUUGGAUAUUGAAUUAUUAGAGGCAUUGAAUCUUUUACUUUUUGUAUGACACUCACUCAGUCUUCAAAUAAUUUCUGAUUGAACACUAGAUUAAGAGGAAAAAAUACCACAAAUGAAAUAACUUGUAUUUUUGUUACGCAAAGGAUUAUUCUAAAAAAUAAUAAGCUGUUCCUCUAAGCCCUUUUAGAACACAUGGAAAACUUCAGAAUAGUGUGAGGGCGUCUUACAUGCACUUCUUUCUUUGGAGAUUGUGAUAACCCAAGUAGAGGAUUUAGGAUUGUGCUGCUCAGAGACAACUGUUUGGAUAAAAUAAUGCCAGAUUCAUCGUUUCCAGACUUGUUAAAUUCAUGGAGUAUUAAAAUAAAAUUGAAAUAAAAUGGAAA